RNAcentral lists this transfer RNA (63 nucleotides) under Ixodes trichosuri. RNAcentral describes it as "tRNA-Asp". The record is from RNAcentral. Lineage: Eukaryota; Metazoa; Arthropoda; Arachnida; Ixodida; Ixodidae.
AAUAAACUAGUUAAAACAAAUAACAUUAGAAUGUCAUUCUAAAAUUACAAUAAGUGUUUAUUA